Molecule: non-coding RNA, 73 nt
Organism: Neogale vison (American mink)
Lineage: Eukaryota; Metazoa; Chordata; Mammalia; Carnivora; Mustelidae
Source: the annotation of a RefSeq genome assembly
GCCUGGCUGGUUCAGUUGGUAGAACACGUGACUCGUGAUCUCGGGGUUGUGAGUUUGAACCCCACGUUGGGCA